Long non-coding RNA from Hordeum vulgare subsp. vulgare (domesticated barley), 1261 nucleotides. RefSeq lists it as uncharacterized. The record is from RefSeq and is a predicted model, not a curated record. The transcript has 5 exons. NCBI's taxonomy places the organism in Eukaryota, Viridiplantae, Streptophyta, Magnoliopsida, Poales, Poaceae.
ACGCGCGGUAACCCUAGCUAGCGGCCGCCGCCCACCAAAUUCCAAAAGAGAAGGGGAACACUUGCGCGGCGCCUGUCGCAUCUGCUUACUUGCCGCCGGUUGGUGACCAGGGUCGCCUUCGCGUCCACAAUGCCUCCGGUUCACGUAAACCCUGUAGAAGCUCUUAAUCUGUUCGAAGAUGCACAAAAGUGUAUGGUGAGAAUCAGUGAAAAGGUUGGGAAGGAGGAGCAACCUGCCGGGAAUGGAUAUGUGGUUUAUUGCAACGAGGACUUCACGGUUGUAACUGCGCAUCCCUCCUACGAAUUUCAGUCCCUUCGUAACGGGAAAAUUAUCCACGGUCAAGUACCGACAGUGACCUUCUGUGAUGGAGCCAGAGCAACUGACACAAUGUUCAUCAAGAUGCACCACUACGUCAAUCUCAUCCUGGCAAAAAUCCCUCACGGUGACUGGGAAGUGGCUCAACCUGGCAAACUAAGUUACCACAGUCGUGAUGUACUGCUCUCGGUGACCUCAUUAUACAACAAGAUGGUCCCUUUCAUCGGCCGGGUCAUUUCUCCACGAGCUACUGCUGUCGAUAGAAAAGGCGAAGAAAUUCCUUCAUCUACAAAUACUUUCACCUUCGAUCUUCCAAUGGCAGGGUCAGUAAGGGAAAAGGAGAAGGUUGGUUUUGAAAAUGAGUUUAUAAGCUCUUGAAAAAUCAAGUUCUUGGGUCCCCGGUCUUGAACCUCCGCCGGAAGAUGGUUGGCUUCGUUGAUCGAUGUGGAAUCAAAUUUCAAGUCAAGUUCGGCAGGAGAUCUGAGGAGCUGGAAUCUGUGAUACAUGGAUGGCUCGCUGGGAGAGACUGGGAGAAGGCAAUCGCAGACCUCACAUCAUCAGAGUUCAGUGCGGGAGGUUCAAAGCGGGCAAAAAGGAACUAGCCAUUUGCCAAGGUAGAUGAAGCAGCAGCAGCAGCAGGAGAAGGCACGAGUCAAUGGUCCAGUGCCAAACAUCAUCGUCAUAGUCCAGUUCAGGCAUUUUUUUGGGGAUCUGAACUUGCUAAUUGUGUUAGCAUUUUGGUUACUAGCUGACAUGUGUAACCCAGUACAUCUAAUUUGGGAACUAAACUAGUUGCCAGUAGCAGUGUAAUGGGGGAAAUGGCCAUUGGAUGGUGCUCAUAGCAACACAAUGAACACCUGAUAUCCUUUUGUGCUGCUUUUUGAGGAAGAGCAAACUGUAGGUCAAAGUAUUUGUCUCGUUUUGAUCAAGACUGCUCUGUUAUGGA